Molecule: long non-coding RNA, 674 nt
Filed under: Equus caballus (horse)
Lineage: Eukaryota; Metazoa; Chordata; Mammalia; Perissodactyla; Equidae
Description: lncRNA (ENSECAG00000036529.3)
Source: RNAcentral
GGACACUCGAGUAGCCCAACAGAGAGAUCCAUCUGGUGAGAUACUGAAGAAUCAACUAGACAGCCAUGUGGGUGCGCCAUCUUCUAAACAGAUCCUCCAGCCCCAGAUGAGCCUGCAUGUGACUGCAGUCUUGGCUGACAUCUUGACAACAACCUCAUGAGAGACCCUGAGCCAGAACCACUCACCUCAGUCUCCCUUGAGCUCAUGGCCUACCGGGUAUUGUUGCCUUCAGCUGCUAAAUUUUGAGGGCUAUACCUACUGGCUUACUUCUGAUUGCUUUGCCACUUACUAGUCGUGUCAUCUUCUUCAAUAUGUCUUUGUUCAAUGACUGAACGACUGAAUGAACACAUGACGAGAAAGAGACUUUUGAACCUGUGGAGUCCAGAGGCUGUGAAAUGCAGAGAUGUGCAACCCCAGGACAAGUGGCUCAGACCAUUUAUCUAUCAGAGGAUUCAUGGAAAGGACUCAGUGUUUACCAGGAUACUUCCAAGGUGCCCUAUCCGUAUAGAGUGGAACUUUAAAACCGGAGAAAAAGUCCAACGAAAUAAGUCAAGUGGAAUAUGUUGUCUUCUACCAUAUUUAGGCAGAGAUCUUGACUAAUUAAUCUUCAAAGAAGUGAAAAUAAUCUACUCUUGAACUUAAUUAUGCAAAUAAAACAAUUCUAAUUUCGGAAA